AUGAACGCUGGCGGCGUGCCUAAUACAUGCAAGUCGAGCGAACGGACGAGAAGCUUGCUUCUCUGAUGUUAGCGGCGGACGGGUGAGUAACACGUGGAUAACCUACCUAUAAGACUGGGAUAACUUCGGGAAACCGGAGCUAAUACCGGAUGAUAUUUUGAACCGCAUGGUUCAAAAGUGAAAGACGGUCUUGCUGUCACUUAUAGAUGGAUCCGCGCUGCAUUAGCUAGUUGGUAAGGUAACGGCUUACCAAGGCAACGAUGCAUAGCCGACCUGAGAGGGUGAUCGGCCACACUGGAACUGAGACACGGUCCAGACUCCUACGGGAGGCAGCAGUAGGGAAUCUUCCGCAAUGGACGAAAGCCUGACGGAGCAACGCCGCGUGAGUGAUGAAGGUCUUCGGAUCGUAAAACUCCGUUAUUAGGGAAGAACAUAUGUGUAAGUAACUGUGCACAUCUUGACGGUACCUAAUCAGAAAGCCACGGCUAACUACGUG
Molecule: ribosomal RNA, 496 nt
Filed under: uncultured bacterium
Lineage: Bacteria
Description: partial 16S ribosomal RNA
Rfam family: Bacterial small subunit ribosomal RNA
Source: RNAcentral